RNAcentral lists this ribosomal RNA (466 nucleotides) under uncultured bacterium. Its description in RNAcentral is "partial 16S ribosomal RNA". It matches the Rfam family "Bacterial small subunit ribosomal RNA", at positions 28 to 505 of the family's 1533-position model. The record is from RNAcentral.
GACGAACGCUGGCGGCGUGCUUAACACAUGCAAGUCGAACGGAAAGGCCCUGCUUUUGUGGGGUGCUCGAGUGGCGAACGGGUGAGUAACACGUGAGUAACCUGCCCUUGACUUUGGGAUAACUUCAGGAAACUGGGGCUAAUACCGGAUAGGAGCUCCUGCUGCAUGGUGGGGGUUGGAAAGUUUCGGCGGUUGGGGAUGGACUCGCGGCUUAUCAGCUUGUUGGUGGGGUAGUGGCUUACCAAGGCUUUGACGGGUAGCCGGCCUGAGAGGGUGACCGGCCACAUUGGGACUGAGAUACGGCCCAGACUCCUACGGGAGGCAGCAGUGGGGAAUAUUGCACAAUGGGCGGAAGCCUGAUGCAGCAACGCCGCGUGCGGGAUGACGGCCUUCGGGUUGUAAACCGCUUUCGCCUGUGACGAAGCGUGAGUGACGGUAAUGGGGAAAGAAGCACCGGCUAACUACG